GAUGAACGCUGGCGGCGUGCCUAAUACAUGCAAGUCGAGCGAACGGACGAGAAGCUUGCUUCUCUGAUGUUAGCGGCGGACGGGUGAGUAACACGUGGAUAACCUACCUAUAAGACUGGGAUAACUUCGGGAAACCGGAGCUAAUACCGGGUAAUAUUUUGAACCGCAUGGUUCAAAAGUGAAAGACAGUCUUGCUGUCACUUAUGGAUGGAUCCGCGCUGCAUUAGCUAGUUGGUAAGGUAACGGCUUACCAAGGCAACGAUGCAUAGCCGACCUGAGAGGGUGAUCGGCCACACUGGAACUGAGACACGGUCCAGACUCCUACGGGAGGCAGCAGUAGGGAAUCUUCCGCAAUGGGCGAAAGCCUGACGGAGCAACGCCGCGUGAGUGAUGAAGGUCUUCGGAUCGUAAAACUCUGUUAUUAGGGAAGAACAUAUGUGUAAGUAACUGUGCACAUCUUGACGGUACCUAAUCAGAAAGCCACGGCUAACUACGUG
RNAcentral lists this ribosomal RNA (497 nucleotides) under uncultured bacterium. RNAcentral's name for it is "partial 16S ribosomal RNA". It matches the Rfam family "Bacterial small subunit ribosomal RNA", at positions 28 to 507 of the family's 1533-position model. The record is from RNAcentral.